GCAAUUCCUUCAGAAGCAACCUCAGUAGCAGUCUAAGGACCUUCCUCAGACUCAGACUGGAAAGAAGGUAGCUGAGAACCUUGGCUACCUUGAUGACUUUUGCCCUAAUCUUUUCUACCGAAAGAUAUUUCAAAGGAAAAGAAGAUCGAAAGGGAAUAAGGAAGAAAAUAGACAAAAAAAAAUAAAGAGAAGGAAGAGGAACCAAUCGGAAACAAACUCAAAGAAGUGGAACCAAAAAAAUGGGGGCUUGAUCGAAAAACAACCGCCAG
RNAcentral lists this long non-coding RNA (269 nucleotides) under Elaeis guineensis (African oil palm). Its description in RNAcentral is "long non-coding RNA (EGUI_LNC059463)". Lineage: Eukaryota; Viridiplantae; Streptophyta; Magnoliopsida; Arecales; Arecaceae. The record is from RNAcentral.